CCUUUACUACUAAUAUUAAUUUUUCAUACAUUUAAUAAAAAAGAUGACGCAAUUUUAUCCAAAAUUAUAUAAUUUUUCAUUUUUAAUUAUUUUUUGGUACUUGACAAGUGUGGCGUCAGCAGCUAGGAAACGGUACCUAUAUACGCAGUUCAGGCAAACGCCGCAAGCGACGCUCCGAUAGGGCAACGCGCAAUCGCAUCUUGGUUCACCGUGUAGUUAGAUAUAGAGUACAAGACAAGAAGAAGAAGACUAACGACAAAGUACCAAAAAGCAUGGUCUAUUAAGUUUUAUAACAAAGAUAAAUAAUAGGCGAACGAGUCGGAUAAAAUAUUGCUACACGCAUGUGGCCGAAUACGCCAUAAUUGGUGACCCCGACGUGAUCUCAUACAAAGGAUGAGAAAAAGAAGACGACUCGUUCGUCAGAUACGCCAGACACGUCGAUUGACGGAAACAAAGACAGUGAGGAUAAUCCUACAAUUGAAGACGAAGAAGAAGAUAUUCAACAGGAAGCUGAACCGAGGUUCCCAAAAGAAAAAAUGCCUGGAACACUUGCCGACACUACGUCAGCAGUUUCUUUGAUGACAUCGGAAGAUAUUCGAAAGCCCAAAACCAUGCAAAAGGGACUAAUAUAGACCCUUGGGGCCCUUUGUUCUGGUACACCGAAGAUAUAGUUCUGUUCAUAAAUACCGAGCCAAUAUUCAUACUUGCUCCCCCUCAUCGCGCAGGACCUUUCGACCCUUGAAGAGAAACUAAUUAUACCAUGAGAUUAGAUCGUCCGGCAUUGGAUACUCAAUUGGUACAUGGGACAGCGAGUACAAGCAAUAGUCCUGCUUUCAUGCGAAGUACAAGAAGCAGUACAUGUGACUUCCGAAUCGACGAGAGGAUUCUAGGAAACUCCAACUUUAGGACACGCUACAGUUUAGACGUUCCCUAACAAUUUUCUGAUAAUUGUGGGAUGAAAAAUGUCAUCUAGAGUAAGCCUCUGUGAAGGCAUAAGACCCCUUCAAGAAAUUCAAAUCCAAUCCCAUAAUUUUUGUAUUACCAUUCGUUGCUUUUACGAUCAUCUGAAAUCACUAACUCAUUAUAGAACACUGUAUUCAUCUUCCGAUAACUGCAUGUGAAAUAUAUUGCAUUGGUUUCUAAACGGCAUGGCGAAAUUGAACUCCCACAUCUUCGAUGAUACUCAGUUAAUGGAAUAAUAAGAAUUUUGUGAAUUGUUAUACAUAUUAUACAUUGAAAUAUAAGGCACGUUCUCAAGUACAA
Molecule: long non-coding RNA, 1263 nt
Organism: Orussus abietinus
Lineage: Eukaryota; Metazoa; Arthropoda; Insecta; Hymenoptera; Orussidae
Exons: 3
Source: RefSeq, a predicted model, not a curated record